This is a long non-coding RNA of Balaenoptera acutorostrata (minke whale), 1848 nucleotides long. RefSeq lists it as uncharacterized. The transcript is spliced from 3 exons. Lineage: Eukaryota; Metazoa; Chordata; Mammalia; Artiodactyla; Balaenopteridae. The record is from RefSeq and is a predicted model, not a curated record.
GGGAGGUUGGUAGGAGGCAGCAAACACAUCACUUCUUCCCGUGGUUAGCGUGGACAGCGGCUACACUCAGGCGUGUGGCAAACUCUCGCGUACUGUGGGCCGGCUCCAGUGUUAAGCAACGGAGAAGCGAUGAAUCAGAUCUGAGUCUUGGCCUCAGGGCUCACAUUCUAUUGGGGACAACAGACACUUGCACAGACUGGCCUUCUCUGCCCCUCUGAUCAGAUGGGGGAAAACAUGACAGUUCCAUCAUGUCCAGCCAUGUGGAAAGAAUCUCCACAUUUCCAAGAGAGGGUGAUUGGACCAAUUGGAGCAGAACUGUGAGAGCAGGAAGCUUGCCAACAGCCAGGUCCCCAACCUUGUGGAGAAAGUGGUCUGGAAAAGUGAUGCUGACAUGAAGAGGAUGUUUGAGUACUUGGUUCCAGACGUCACUAAAUCCAGUUACAUCCUUGCCACGAACCAACAGCUCCUGAUAAUACCUUCUCCCUUCCCUUUCUAAGCCUCAGUAUCCUUAUCUAUAAAAUAAUGGGGGGGCUUCCCUGGUGGCACAGUGGUUAACAAUCCACCUGCCAAUGCAGGGGACAUGGGUUCGAGCCCUGGUCCAGGAAGAUCCCACAUGCCGCGGAGCAACUAAGUGCGUGCACCACAAUUACAGAGCCUGCUCUCUGGAGCCCGCGAGCCACAACUACUGAGCCCACAUGCCACAACUACUGAAGCCCGUGCGCCUAGAGCCCGUGCUCCGCAACAAGAGAAGCCACCGCCAUGAGAAGCCCGCGCACCGCAACGAAGAGUAGCCCCCGCUCAACACAACUAAAGAAAGCCCGCGAGCAGCAACAAAAACCCAACGCAGCCAAAAAAUAAAUAAAUAAAUUAAAAAAAAAAUAAUGGGGCUGCAUCCUUCCCCCUUUAUCUCUGAUGCUCUAUUACUAUGUUCAUUAAUUUAUUCUUUCCAUCAAUUAGUCAGUCAGCAUCCCUUGUGCAUCUAUUCUGUCCCUGGCCCUAUGUUGGACACUGAGACUCUUGGCAAAGGAAUAACUCCCAUCCUCGGUUCUCAAGACUCAGAGUUAGGCAGGGGAGGGAGUUAAGCAACCAUUCAGUACUGAGUGUGGUAAUGGCUGUGACAGAAGGAAGCACAAAAACUGUGGGGAUGUCAGAGAAGGAGACAUAUCCUCAUUUGUAAGUCUUCCUGGAGGAGGUGGCAGGAGCUGAGUUUUUCAGAUGGGGGUGGGCGCGGAGAAAGGAGGAAGAGCAUUCCAGGCAGAAGAACCUGCCUUUGUAAGGGUCCAAAAGAGAAUGAGAGAAAGUAGCUGCCUGGGGCCGGAGGGAAGGGGACACAGGAGAUGACCUUAUUUGUAUUUUCCACCUAUGUAACUUCUGGGAAAACAAGAAAAAACUCCACUUUUUAAAGCUUGGAAAAUCCCCAGGGUGGAGUCUUUGAACAGGGAUGAAAAGAAGUGACUUCUGACCACAGUAAAGCCCUGGAAUGAAUGAUUCUUCCCCUAGUAGGCUGCCCCAUUGGUCCUUGGUCCCAUCACGAAAUCCACACUCACAGUUGCAUUCAGCGGCUGGUCCUAACGCUGUUGGAUCCAUCUAAAAAUAGGAAGGCCUGGAGCCUAAGGCCAAGCAGAUGACAGAAGAGCAGCCCACGCAGGCCUGGGAGGAGUGUAAACAUCCCCACCUCAUAGGAAACACACUCAUUACAUUGUGAGCAGAAGCGGUUAAUGAUGCACCCUGGAGAAAAUAUGCAGUUAUUGCCCCCAAACAUGCCAAAGCCCUCCUAAUGACUGCACGCCUGCUCCAAAGCAGAAACUGUUCCAGAUGCUGCUUCUUGUCUCUGGGAGAGCCCUUCCU